RNAcentral lists this ribosomal RNA (903 nucleotides) under uncultured bacterium. Its description in RNAcentral is "bacterial SSU rRNA". It matches the Rfam family "Bacterial small subunit ribosomal RNA", at positions 28 to 944 of the family's 1533-position model. The record is from RNAcentral.
GAUGAACGCUAGCGGCAGGCCUAAUACACGCUUUUCGAACGGUGUCUUCGGACAUAGUGGCGCACGGGUGCCUAUCACGUAUGCAACCUACCUUACAUUGGGGGAUAGCCUUUCGAAAGGGAGAUUAAUACCGCAUAAGACAGUAACUAGGCAUCUAGUAGCUGUUAAAGAUUUAUCGAUGUAAGCUGGGCAUGCGACCAAUUAGCUUGUUGGUGAGGUAAUGGCUCACCAAGGCUAUGAUUGGUAGGGGAACUGAGAGGUCAAUCCCCCACACUGGCACUGAGAUACGAGCCAGACUCCUACGGGAGGCAGCAGUAGGGAAUAUUGGGCAAUGGACGCAAGUCUGACCCAGCCAUGCCGCGUGCAGGAUGAAGGCGUUAUGCGUUGUAAACUGCUUUUAUACAGGAAGAAACGACUCUUGCGAGAGGCAUUGACGGUACUGUAUGAAUAAGCACCGGCUAACUCCGUGCCAGCAGCCGCGGUAAUACGGAGGGUGCAAGCGUUGUCCGGAUUUAUUGGGUUUAAAGGGUGCGCAGGUGGUUUAUUAAGUCAGUGGUGAAAGACGGUCGCUCAACGAUUGCAGUGCCAUUGAAACUGGUAGACUUGAGUAAAGUAGAGGUGGGCGGAAUUGAUAGUGUAGCGGUGAAAUGCAUAGAUAUUAUCAAGAACUCCAAUUGCGUAGGCAGCUCACUUGGCUUUUACUGACACUCAUGCACGAAAGUGUGGGUAUCAAACAGGAUUAGAUACCCUGGUAGUCCACACUGUAAACGAUGAUAACUAGGUGUCGGCCGAAUCUGGUCGGUGCCACAGCGAAAGCGUUAAGUUAUCCACCUGGUGAGUACGCCGGCAACGGUGAAACUCAUAGGAAUUGACGGGGGUCCCGCACAGCGGUGGAGCAUGUGG